Tripterygium wilfordii is the source of this 469-nucleotide long non-coding RNA. RefSeq lists it as uncharacterized. The record is from RefSeq and is a predicted model, not a curated record. The transcript is spliced from 4 exons. Lineage: Eukaryota; Viridiplantae; Streptophyta; Magnoliopsida; Celastrales; Celastraceae.
UAUAGUCUCCCCUCAUGAGCUAUGUAGUUGGAUGGGCUAAUCACACACCCUCCAUGGCUGCAUUUGAAGCAGCUCUUGUGGUAAGCGGUCCCGUUCACCGAAACCUGGAAAGAACGAUGAUAUUUUCUCAGUGGAGAAGUGUUCUGGCAGCCAAGACAUUUUUCUCUGGUUCCACCAAACAUGCUUGAGGCUUUAUUCACUGCAGGUUUCUGUCCAAAACAGCUAAAUGUCAGGAGUGUUCAGGACGCCUUCAAAGGAAUUGUAGUUGCCAAGCUGCAGAGAGAUUCAUCUGUCAUUAGAAUUGUGCAGAAUGGAUACACUUCUUCGCAGGACUCAAGAUUUAGUAGCGCAGCUGUUGAUCAUGGAUAGAUCAAGAUGCAGCUGUUGAUUGUAGAUAGAUCAAGCAGAGCUCCAAAAGAUCUAAAGUCAUACUCAUUAGGAAAACUAAAAUGAGCAGAUUACCUUGAGA